Long non-coding RNA from Aethalodelphis obliquidens (Pacific white-sided dolphin), 2503 nucleotides. RefSeq lists it as uncharacterized. The transcript is spliced from 6 exons. Lineage: Eukaryota; Metazoa; Chordata; Mammalia; Artiodactyla; Delphinidae. The record is from RefSeq and is a predicted model, not a curated record.
CAUUGUAUAUUCCAUCUUUAUCCAUUCAUCUGUUGAUGGACGCUUAGGUUGCUUCGAAAAGAUAUGUGCACUCCAGUGUUCAUAGUUGCAUUAUUUACUAUUCCCAGUUCUUAAUUCCCUGGAGUACUUUAGAUUGCUAUCACUUCUUGUUGUAUAAUUUGUAAGGAGAACAGUGAUGAUUUCCGAGAUGAGGCCUUAAGAGGAAAGGGCAAGCGAUUUGUCAGAAAAACACUUGGGGAGAAUCCCUCCUUAUGAGUGGUGGUACCUUGGGCAAGUGUCUCUAACUCUUUGAACUUUUCCUUCUUCACAAAAGUGCUAAUGCUAUAACCCAUAGGCUGUUGCAAAGGUCAAAUGAGACAAUGUUUAAGCACUUUGAAGCAGCAAAGUCUUGUGUGAAUUAGAUGUUAUUAAAAGUAGUUUAGAGCAUGUGGCUAUGAUUGAACUAUAUCAUUGAAAUUAUAAUUAACAGGAGUGUAGUAUUAAAAGGAAAACUUUUCUUAAGUAUAUUUUUUACAAAUAUUACCUUGGCUUUCUAAGAGUUCUAAACAAUCAAGGAAAGUAGAAUGAGGAAACUCUUAUGAUCUAGAUGUUUUUGUAAAUAUCCAAAUGCUUUUAAGUCUGCAAAUGCCACUUAAUAAUGGUCUGGAUGGAAGAUCUGCUGCCACCCCCCGCCCCAUAGGGGUGUAUAUGUUUGAAAAUUUCACAGUGUUGUAAUACGUCUUGUAUAGUGGAAUAUUAACAUUAUUUUAAUCUGUUCACUGAAAUUAGAAGCUUGCUAAUUUUGCCAUGCUAUGUAAAAAAUAACAAAUCGUUCCAAAGCAAUGCAUUUUUUAAAACAUCUUUUUUUCUUAGAAAGAUACACUAAGGUAAAUACUAGUUUUUUCCCCGACAGCCUUGGCAGAAUAAACUGUCUAUGCAGGAACCAGGCAAUCAACAUUUAACUUGUAUUUGUUAGUACCUACUGUGUGUUUCAGUCAUGUUCUUCAGAGGUAAGCAACAAGAUUCUCUACUCUCAAAGAGUGUAUAUUCCAAUAAGGAAAACAAUUAAAAAAUUUUUUUCAAAGAGUGAGAAGUGCUAUAAAUAGUAAUAUGAUAGAAAGUGUGAGGGGUGGUGGAGUUGUAGAGUGGUGAUUGACAAUAGCGUGUGCUAACAUGGGACAACCUGAACGGUAAGAGGCAUCGCUCACAAUAUGAUGAAGAAGAGUAUCGGACAAAGCUAAGAGCAAGUGCGAGACCUUAAGGCAGGAACAAGAUGGGCAGAUUCAGGGACUAGUGGGAGGCAAGCGGUGAUGAGAGCUGAGAAUGGAGAGGGUGGCAGAGCCCAUGGGAUAGGUAGGAUUCUGUAGGUCAUUGUAAGUAACCUGGUGAAUUCUGAGUGACUAAGUGAAAUGGGAACAAGUGAAAGGUUUUAAGGAAAUGACAAUUUUUAAACAAUCUAAUUGAGAUAUAAUUUACGUACUCUUAAGAUUCAUCCAUUUGAAUUCAAUGUGCAGUUCAGUGGUUUCUAACAUUUACGGAGUUGUGCAACAAUCACCAUGAUCUAAUUUUAGAACCUGAUUUGUUGUUUAAAAGAUCAUCCUGGCUUUUGUGUGGAGAAUGGAUUAUAGAGGAGUGAAAGUAUAAAGGACAAGAUCAGGAGGCUACUGAUGUUAACCCAGGUGACCUUUAUUCAAAUGGUGAAGAAGAAUGACUUCUAGAUGAUGUCCAAAGAUUUUCUGAUGAUCCCCAUUCUUGGAUCUGAAACAAUCUUGAAAGCACCACGUAGAUGGAGCAGGGCAGGGCUUGGCCCUGACGAACAUGGGAGUCGACAGACCCAAGUAGGAUAUCCAGUCCCACAACUUAUGUGGGGUCUAAGAAGGCGUUAUUAUUGCUUCCAAUUUAUAGCUGAGAGGAUUGAUGCAUAGAGUGGAUUCUGUCCUGGAAGAGGGGCCAUACUGAAAUGAAAUGGAAAGAGAUGAUUAAGACCUGAUUUAUAGGCAUCCAAAGACUAAACUUGUUCAGAGGUGCAAACAGCUCUGAAUUAUCACCACUACUUCAAGGAAGUCUUCAUGGACACGGGAACUAAUAUCUGCUCUCCAGGACCUCCUCAAAGAGUUUGUAUCUCCAUGUCUAUUUAACUAUCUCUUGUGUUCUAAUCCAUUACAAAUAUAUUAUGGCGCUGGCAUCAGAACACUGUGUUCUUACUGGUUGCCAUAAAACUGAUGCACUUGCAGCCUGCCUCGAUUGAAAAGUUGUCAGUAUAAAUAACACAUAAAUUCACAUUUUGCAUAAUAGGGCCCAUUCCUUAUAAAUCAGGUCAUGAGUAUAUGAAACAUAUAUCUUGGCACACAAAUGUUAAAUAACAGUAAUAAAUUAAUAAAUACAUAAAUUACUUAAAUAGGUAAAUAACAUAAAAGUCAGCUGUGACCUGCUAGCUGUAAACUGUAUAAAUAAAUUAGCUGAUUGUUUCGGUGGGCAUUUAGCAUUUAAAUAUAAAAAUACAGCAAAGACAUCUUUAUAAUCG